This is a long non-coding RNA of Astatotilapia calliptera (eastern happy), 2682 nucleotides long. Lineage: Eukaryota; Metazoa; Chordata; Actinopteri; Cichliformes; Cichlidae. The record is from Ensembl.
GUUAUUUCUCAGGGUGUUUGGGAACAGAAGGUAUUGCCACACUUGGAACAUCCUGCUGAAGUCUUCGUUUACCCUACAGAUUACAAAAUGCAACAGCUGCUAAGGACUCCGGAAAAGUUGAUAAAUAUUUUUUCCACAGCUGCAGAAGCGUGAAAACUCCCCAGCUGUGGACAGCGUGUACACAAGAAUCAACAACUCUAAAGGGGAAAGGGUUCAAAUCAUUGCAUUGUGUGAAGCUGAUAUUUUGCCCCUGUGACGGGUGGAAGAUUUUUCCUCGUCUCAUUACCUCCCAGGAAUCUUUGAAAUAUGCUACACAGGUUAAAAGGUGAGGCGUCAUGUGUCAGGCUAAAAGAGGACACGCCAAGUUUUACCAAAAUAUCUGUCAGGUGUGAUCCAGUUUUAGUUUAAUGUCCCUGAUGCAUGUAAAACCUUUUUCUUUUUUUUUCUUUAGCUAAAAAGUAAAUUUUAACUAAAGAAAAGUCCUUUGGCUGUAGAGCCAGCAGAGCAAAGAGACUCUUGACACUGAGCAAGUGAAAUAUUUACUCAGGACACUAAAAAAAAAAAAAAAAAUUUCUAUGGUACAAGAAUGUUUUUAAGCAUUAAUGUUAGAUAUGCACCCACAAUAUCCCAGCUGUUUCACAUAAUAUGCACGUCUAUCUCUUUGGCAGGAGGAGGUUCUGAAAUGUUUGCCCACUCGUGUUAGAGGUCUCAAGUUGAAAUGCCAGUAGAUCUUUAUGCUUUGCACUCCACCCACACAGUUGCUGUGCUCGCAUAAAACGUUUCUGCAAAGUAAAUUGACAUUUUCACUAAAAAAGAAACCAAAAAUAUCAAGAAUAAGAGUAAGUGCCAGAUACCAAAGUCUCCUCUAUAUUUGCUGCAUUUUCUUGAGGAUUAUGUUUAACCAGCACCUCAAUAGUAAUCAUCUUGCCCCACCUAGUGGUCAUGCUGAACAUGUCAGGUGCUGCAGAGUGAGGAGGGUCACAUUCAGGCACAUUCUGGUGUAAUAGUGAGCUCCCCCCCCCAUUUUCUCUAUGUGCUACAAAGCUUUUAAAAAUAGCAGUAGAUUUUACAGUGUUUUUCAUUUUUUUUAUAAAAAAAAAAAAAAAAAGGAAAAAGUCCAAUAAAUGAAUAAAACAAGAAAUACCCACAUGCAAACGUCCUUUAUGAAAGCCAUUGGGACAUAAAUCACUGUUAUUUGUGUGAAUUUGUUUGCAUCUGCUUGACGAUAAUCUGGCUGCGGAGAGUAGCCUGGCCCCUCGGUGCAGUAACCAGCCAGGCCCUGCACACUUUUACCACGCAGGGACAGAUUCCAGUUACUGAGCCUGGGGGACAGAUGAAAAAUUCACCCCUGGUACCUGUGGAAGAAAUUUGUUUUACUGAUACGACUGAUUAUGCACAGAUGUUCUAAAAAGCUGAGAACAUUUUAAAUCCAAACCUGAAGUUGUCCAGCUUAUGUGUUCCUUAACAGUGGAAGUCCUUGUGAACAAGGGUCAGCGCACUAGUAAGUCAGAUAAAUGGACUGGACUGUAACAGCCGGGCUAUACAUUACCCUCCUCCAAGUCCUCUGUUAAGACUGGCUCCACCAAAAUUACACAUUAACCCAAGAGCAUUUCUCUGCCCUGCAACUUCUUUGGGUCCCAUUGAACCCAGAUGCAAAGGACACAGCAGGGUGUUAACGGGGAGCAAAAUUCAAGCGUUUUAUUGCUUGAUGCAAAAGACAAAUGCAAAGUCUACAAAGUAACAGCAUGUGAAACAUGCACAGGGUUGAUUGAAUAAGACGAUACAGUUGGAAUCAGCUGACAACACUUAGGAACAGGUGAAAACAAUCACAGCACCGUGAACAAGACAGGAAAUGAAAACAAGAGCAAAUGUGAAAAGCAACAAAAAAAAAAAAAAAGUAGGAUCAGCAAGUAACAAAGAGAAACACCUGCUAUCACAUAAGAAGACACAGAAAAACACAAAAACCAACACUAAACAUGAUUACACAAUCUGGUGCAGACAAGCCAACAGAACACCAGGACUAUAGUAAAUAAAUAAACAGUCACUGUGGAUGGGGGCAAACUUUAACAAUUGCUCAAGUAUCUGAAAACCAUCUGUUAUGUCAUUUGUAGUUGUCCACACUUUCAGUGCACAUGUACACAAAAAUAAAGACAUGUUUCAUAUGGACACACUUUAAUAUAUUUUCCUCUACCGGUAUUAAUUCUCUCAUUAAGACUGUGACUGUGUAAGAAGUCCGAACUUUACCACCAAGCUAAGUAAGUAAACAACAGAGACACAGCUAUCCAUGGGAAGCAGCCAGCUGCCUACCUGACCUUGUGGAUGUCACUGAAUGUUGGAUCAAACACUGAAAGCUGCGGUCAGCCCGGAGCCAGAUGGUUAUUUUCCCAACAAGAAAGCAAAUAUCUUGCAGCUGAAGCUCUCCGUUUAAUUGCGUUUCUGCUAUAGACUCAUUCGUUUUGGGGUUCUAUAGUAUACACAUAUAAGCUUCAAGAAAAUGGUGUAAUCAUUUAAACAGAGCGUGUUAAGAUGUUUGACAUGUUUUUCAACACAACUCCAGUCUUUCUCAGGCAAAUCUGCACGAGUGUAUGGCAAGAAACAUGCCAUGCUCACGUAAUCUUAACAGAGUUUAAUUCAGCUAUUUGUUUACAAUCAGUCUAUCCACGUUUCACAGGAGAGUCAGCU